AGAACAAUGUACAACUCUUAUCGAUAAGCCAUUGGAGGGCAAGUCUGGUGCCAGCAGCCGCGGUAAUUCCAGCUCCAAUAGCGUAUAUUAACGUUGUUGCAGUUAAAAAGCUCGUAGUUGAAGUGUGGGUGAUCGCUGUUGUGAGACUUCGGUCUCUCGACAGUAAGUCACCCCCUUCCAGUAUCCAGUAGUGGGUAUUCAGUUACUUACUAUUGUGUGUUGGUCAUUUACUGUGAGAAAAUUAGAGUGUUCAAAGCAGGCGUUUGCUUGAAUAGAUUAGCAUGGAAUAAUAAUUGAAGGCUUUCGUGUUCGAUUUGAUUGGUUUGUUCAUGGAAGCAAGGUUAAAAGGAACAGUUGGGGGUAUUCAUAU
RNAcentral lists this ribosomal RNA (370 nucleotides) under Blastocystis sp. subtype 1. RNAcentral describes it as "SSU rRNA". It matches the Rfam family "Eukaryotic small subunit ribosomal RNA", at positions 517 to 897 of the family's 1831-position model. Lineage: Eukaryota; Bigyra; Opalinata; Blastocystidae. The record is from RNAcentral.